CAGAUGUGAAAUCCCCGGGCUCAACCUGGGAACUGCAUCUGAUACUGGCAAGCUUGAGUCUCGUAGAGGGGGGUAGAAUUCCAGGUGUAGCGGUGAAAUGCGUAGAGAUCUGGAGGAAUACCGGUGGCGAAGGCGGCCCCCUGGACGAAGACUGACGCUCAGGUGCGAAAGCGUGGGGAGCAAACAGGAUUAGAUACCCUGGUAGUCCACGCCGUAAACGAUGUCGACUUGGAGGUUGUGCCCUUGAGGCGUGGCUUCCGGAGCUAACGCGUUAAGUCGACCGCCUGGGGAGU
This 293-nucleotide ribosomal RNA is filed under the name Escherichia coli. Its description in RNAcentral is "partial 16S ribosomal RNA". It matches the Rfam family "Bacterial small subunit ribosomal RNA", at positions 589 to 881 of the family's 1533-position model. The record is from RNAcentral. Lineage: Bacteria; Pseudomonadati; Pseudomonadota; Gammaproteobacteria; Enterobacterales; Enterobacteriaceae.